Daphnia magna is the source of this 1876-nucleotide long non-coding RNA. RefSeq lists it as uncharacterized. The record is from RefSeq and is a predicted model, not a curated record. The transcript is spliced from 2 exons. Lineage: Eukaryota; Metazoa; Arthropoda; Branchiopoda; Diplostraca; Daphniidae.
AUUGUUGCUAGGCUACGUUAGAUGAUAGCUUAGUUGGCGUGGAGUACAUGCUUAUAGUUACUUCGUUAGGUUUCUCUACGUUAUGUUACGCGUUUAAGGCGUUUCACUCCAAGUCAGUCUUUCAAGACUUUUGAAGGUGUAAUAAGAAAGAUUUUUUAAAAAUCCACGCAAUCCGCAAAUAUAGAGCAUUAAGUAAUAUAAUUAUGCUAGCGUGUUGCGAACUACCAGUGUUGGGGCUACCAGGGAAAACACCAAGCAAUUUAUUUUGCCAAUCUAUUUGUAACACUAUAAAAACUGCUCACCACGCCUCUGUUAGACAUGAAGAGAAUUUCGUUAACGUUCGCAGAAAUCUAGAUUUAUGUCUUUGUUUGCUGUAGUGAACUGCACUAAUGAAUCUGAUGUCAACAUUGAUCCCAGGUCAUACGCUCGAAUGCUCUACACGCUUUAUAGCUGGUUCAUGAUUCUUUAUUUAUUUUAUUUAUCUAUUUUUUUUUCGUAUUCAAUAUCAGGGAUUCAGUUCUUUUUUUUUUGUGACAAAGACAAAGAAAGGAAAAGCCCUAGGAUCCCUUACGAUUUGUUUAUCUUUAGUUCGCGUCAUCGGCUGGUGCUACCUGAUGUUUGUAGAAUAGUUUAGUGUAGAUUGAUAAGGUUAAAUCAAUAGAAGUUUGAUUUUUUCAGUAAUAUUUACAUAAAUCUUUUUUGGGUCUCUACUAUAAUGCAUGCCCUUUCUAGGCUGUCUAGCAAUAGUUAAAUGAACCAAUCUGAGUAUUCCAAUGGGCUGCCAAUGAUUGGAAACUGUGCGGUCGAAUUGAUGGACUCGCCUAAAGUCUCUGUAUUUACAAACGCCUGUCCUUAUAGAUCUGCCGUUGCUGACGACGUCAAGACUUCAAACAUUUAUUUUCAUGUAUGAAUGUUCAAUCAGGGGAAGCAGUAACUUGACUGAGCAUCCCCUAUCUUCAUGGGUCUCAUUCAUUAGUCAUCCUCUAUAGGCUGGCACAUCCAAAGGAGCUGUGCGGAGCUGUGAUAUUUGCGUUACGUUCAUUUUUUCUUUCCAGCUUCCGAGGACUCGAAAACCUCUUAUUCCCGAAUCUCUAGCACGGAAUCAUUGGCUUCGUGCCCUUUGAUGUGGCUUAUUGUUCUCUACUUGCUAUAUAUAACCUGCUGCAGACUCGCUUCCACAGACGAUCGAUCUGGAAGGGCAGCCGCGAUUAUCGAUCUACGGGCAAAAGGAACACAAGCCUGUGUGUAGACCACUUAUAUUCUUUUCGGUUUCGUGCCAUUCAUGAUGUUGGAACACGACGCUUUAUUGUCCUAUCGGCAAGUCAUUGGUUUUCCUACUUUAGAUGUAUACAGAGAAAAGGAAGCGCCGUUAAAGUGUUGGUAAAGAAUAGAAAUACUAAAACCACGUUCAACCAUCUUAUGGUGCAAAAGUUCAAUUCACAAUUUUGUACAGUUGUUUUACACAAUGUGGUACACGUAUAGACUGUGUACUGAGACGACUUUUUACACAGGCAUCUAUACACUGUUAGCAACCAUGUUUUCGUAACUUUCAAAUGCUGGCUAGAAAACGAGAAGAGAUAUAAUAUUAUUUAUGUUGAUUUGUUUGACGGAUUUCGGGGUCCGCAACGUUAUCUACUAUUCUUAUUCUCCUGUUUCCUGUUAUACAACCAAUUUCUUAAGUAUCACUCUUUUGUUUUUUGUUUUUUUGUUUGUUUUUUUUUUGUGCCUGUGUUUCCCUAAUCUUGUUUUCUUUCUUUUCUGUCUUAUAUUUUUGGUCGAUGCGUGGGCGGAACUCUUAUAGCGGCCCAUGCAACAACAACAACAACAACAUAUUCUAGCCUAACGUAUAUACCCCAAAAUACACGUUAUAUACAGA